GGGCGCUAAGGAUAUGGUGCGCCGGUGGUGCGCUGCGCACAAGGGUACCGUGUUUAUGACGGCGCGUUCUGCGGUGUGCGUAUUAGUGUGUGCGCAGGCGUACGUUAUUUUCUUGUUGGCCGUCAGAGUGUGGGCGUGCAACUGCAAUCGAACCCAUUAGUAAGUAGUAACCACCAUAAGAGACCAAAAUUAUAACUACUUAAAAGUGAAAAUCAUUAACUGCUGUAUUUUAUUUAAUUCAGUUGGGCACGUUUUGGCCUAAUAAAAUUUAUUAAUGACAUCUUUUAGACUCAGCUACCAUAAUGUACAUUUUCGUCCUUUGCUUCAUCCCAAAUUCAUAUCGAAAUUUCGAAUGCGGUCCCAUAUAUUUUUAACAUAUUUGUCGAUUAUUAGUUGCAGCCGUCAAUGAUUACGAGGCUUAAGACUCUAAUGAAAUGAACACUAUUGGUCGAAUAAUUCUUUUACUCCAACAUGAGACUUUUAAAAAUACUCGCUUGUCAAAAUUAUAAUUUGUAAACUUAACAUGCAAGAAUCUGUCUGUAUUACCUUGUCCCUGUGCUAAAUAAAGCAGACCACCACCAGGGCCACUAAUUGAGUGAAAAAGGGCAAAGGGUGUAACGGGGAAGCGUCUCC
Molecule: long non-coding RNA, 633 nt
Filed under: Citrus maxima (pomelo)
Lineage: Eukaryota; Viridiplantae; Streptophyta; Magnoliopsida; Sapindales; Rutaceae
Description: long non-coding RNA (CMAX_LNC002565)
Source: RNAcentral